AGCUCGUCGGGGUCCACGGCCCGCGAGGCGAGGAGGUAGUCGCGCAUGACGAUGCCGUGGCGGCCCUC
RNAcentral lists this small RNA (68 nucleotides) under Streptomyces silvensis. Its description in RNAcentral is "ASdes TB sRNA". It matches the Rfam family "ASdes TB sRNA". Lineage: Bacteria; Bacillati; Actinomycetota; Actinomycetes; Kitasatosporales; Streptomycetaceae. The record is from Rfam by way of RNAcentral.